CUUCAACGACCCCAACCACAACGGACGCUCCUCCACCCGCCCCUGCCCAUACGUCGCCAACAACGCCUGCGCCUC
RNAcentral lists this antisense RNA (75 nucleotides) under Streptomyces lydicus. RNAcentral's name for it is "ASpks TB sRNA". It matches the Rfam family "ASpks TB sRNA". The record is from Rfam by way of RNAcentral. Lineage: Bacteria; Bacillati; Actinomycetota; Actinomycetes; Kitasatosporales; Streptomycetaceae.